This is a long non-coding RNA of Agelaius phoeniceus (red-winged blackbird), 976 nucleotides long. RefSeq lists it as uncharacterized. The record is from RefSeq and is a predicted model, not a curated record. Lineage: Eukaryota; Metazoa; Chordata; Aves; Passeriformes; Icteridae.
CCCUCCCGUCCCCACUCACAUCCGUCGAUCUCCUCCUGCAGGUCCUCCUGGAGCAGCGACAGAUCUGCGGUGGUAAGAAGAUGGUUCCAGACUCUUUUCGGUGGUUCACAGUGACAGGAUGAGGAACAAUGGCCAUAAACUGAAACACAAGAAGUUUCAUCUCUACAUGAGGAAGAACUUCGCACUGAGAGCGUGGCAGAGCAGUGGAACAAGCUGUCCCAGGAGAUGAUGGAGUGUCCCUCCCUCUCUGGAGACAUUCAAACCCCACCUAGAUGUGUUCUUGCCUCACCUGCUCUAGGAGACCAUGCCUUGGCAGGGGCUUUGGACCAGAUGAUCUCCAAAGGUCCCUUCCAAGCCUAAUGGUUCUGUGACAGGCAGCCAUGCCACCACCACUGCAUAGCCCACAAGCAUCUUCCUCAUGUGAAUUGCCAAGUUUCUCCAGCUGGGAUCCCAUGGCUUAAACACACAGGAUACUGCCCCACUGCACUGCUGUGCCUUCUGACUUCUGCUUUAAAAACAGGCACUUUAGGUGUACAUAGGCACAAAGGUGCACAUGGUUUUCUGCUUUUUUUGGCUGUACCUUUUGGUCACUGCUAAUGGUUCUCAUUUCAACUGUUUUAAUAGAUUUUUUUUCCACUGUAAAUUGGAAUAUUAAAAGUGUUGGAUGAAACAAAUACUCUAUUCAGUUGAUAACCAGGGCACUUGAUAGAGGAAAGGACUAGUACUGGUACUAGUGCUACCUGGGAAUAUUACCUGAGUCUUCCACAGUCUUGUUUUAAACCUCCAUAAUAAUUGAUGAAGUUGUUAAUACACAAAAAAGCAAAAUAAAUUAUUUUUUGCUUGCAAAAAAAGAUGUAAUUUCAUUAGCACUGUUUUUAACUGUGUGCUUGAUAGUAUGUCUUGUAAGCUGCUUUUAAACAAUUUUUGAUUUUAUUUGGUGAAUUGUACAAGGAUUAAAUCUCCACAGUCAUUCAUU